This 418-nucleotide ribosomal RNA is filed under the name uncultured bacterium. RNAcentral's name for it is "bacterial SSU rRNA". It matches the Rfam family "Bacterial small subunit ribosomal RNA", at positions 356 to 773 of the family's 1533-position model. The record is from RNAcentral.
GGGGAAUCUUGCGCAAUGGCCGAAAGCCUGACGCAGCGACGCCGCGUGUGGGAGGAAGCUCUUCGGGGUGUAAACCACUGUUGCCCGGGACGAACACACCUAUUCGUAGGUGCUGCCGGUACCGGGGGAGGAAGCACCGGCUAACCCUGUGCCAGCAGCCGCGGUAAUACAGAGGGUGCGAGCGUUGUCCGGAAUCACUGGGCGUAAAGGGCGCGUAGGUGGUGGCUUAAGCGUGCGGUGAAAGCUCGGAGCUCAACUCCGAGUCGGCCGUGCGAACUGGGCUCACUGGAGCAUAGUAGAGGCAGGUGGAAUUCCGGGUGUAGCGGUGGAAUGCGUAGAGAUCCGGAAGAACACCGGUGGCGAAGGCGGCCUGCUGGGCUAUGACUGACACUGAGGCGCGACAGCGUGGGGAGCAAAC